Clostridium sp. DL-VIII is the source of this 71-nucleotide non-coding RNA. The record is from Rfam. Lineage: Bacteria; Bacillati; Bacillota; Clostridia; Eubacteriales; Clostridiaceae.
AAAUAAGAUUUAUCAUGAGAAGUCAGCCGAGGUCAUAGUACUGAAUGUAGUAGACGACAUAUAGGAAGGAC